This 73-nucleotide transfer RNA is filed under the name Stegodyphus mimosarum. It matches the Rfam family "tRNA". From Rfam's summary of the family: Transfer RNA (tRNA) molecules are approximately 80 nucleotides in length. Their secondary structure includes four short double-helical elements and three loops (D, anti-codon, and T loops). Lineage: Eukaryota; Metazoa; Arthropoda; Arachnida; Araneae; Eresidae. The record is from Rfam by way of RNAcentral.
GCCUUCGUGCUGUAGUGGUCAGCAUGCUCGACGCGUAACCGAGAGGUCCAUGGUUCGAUUCCACGCGAAGGCG